CAGGGGAUAGUUUAUUAAAAAUAUUGGUUUUGGAGACUAAUGAAAAGAUCAGAUUCUUUCCCUUGA
RNAcentral lists this transfer RNA (66 nucleotides) under Clytra quadripunctata. Its description in RNAcentral is "tRNA-Pro". Lineage: Eukaryota; Metazoa; Arthropoda; Insecta; Coleoptera; Chrysomelidae. The record is from RNAcentral.